RNAcentral lists this ribosomal RNA (465 nucleotides) under uncultured Comamonadaceae bacterium. Its description in RNAcentral is "bacterial SSU rRNA". It matches the Rfam family "Bacterial small subunit ribosomal RNA", at positions 338 to 795 of the family's 1533-position model. The record is from RNAcentral. Lineage: Bacteria; Pseudomonadati; Pseudomonadota; Betaproteobacteria; Burkholderiales; Comamonadaceae.
CCUACGGGGGGCUGCAGUGGGGAAUUUUGGACAAUGGGCGCAAGCCUGAUCCAGCAAUGCCGCGUGCAGGAUGAAGGCCUUCGGGUUGUAAACUGCUUUUGUACGGAACGAAAAGGCUCUGGUUAAUACCUGGGGCUCAUGACGGUACCGUAAGAAUAAGCACCGGCUAACUACGUGCCAGCAGCCGCGGUAAUACGUAGGGUGCAAGCGUUAAUCGGAAUUACUGGGCGUAAAGCGUGCGCAGGCGGUUAUAUAAGUCAGAUGUGAAAUCCCCGGGCUCAACCUGGGACCUGCAUUUGAGACUGUAUAGCUAGAGUACGGUAGAGGGGGAUGGAAUUCCGCGUGUAGCAGUGAAAUGCGUAGAUAUGCGGAGGAACACCGAUGGCGAAGGCAAUCCCCUGGACCUGUACUGACGCUCAUGCACGAAAGCGUGGGGAGCAAACAGGAUUAGAUACCCCGGUAGUC